Molecule: ribosomal RNA, 253 nt
Filed under: uncultured bacterium
Lineage: Bacteria
Description: partial 16S ribosomal RNA
Rfam family: Bacterial small subunit ribosomal RNA
Source: RNAcentral
UACGGGGGGGGCAAGCGUUGUUCGGAAUUACUGGGCGUAAAGGGCUCGUAGGCGGCCAACUAAGUCAGACGUGAAAUCCCUCGGCUUAACCGGGGAACUGCGUCUGAUACUGGAUGGCUUGAGGUUGGGAGAGGGAUGCGGAAUUCCAGGUGUAGCGGUGAAAUGCGUAGAUAUCGGGAGGAACACCUGUGGCGAAAGCGGCUCUCUGGACCGUAACUGACGCUGAGACACGAAAGCGUGGGUAGCAAACAGG